This 490-nucleotide ribosomal RNA is filed under the name uncultured bacterium. RNAcentral's name for it is "partial 16S ribosomal RNA". It matches the Rfam family "Bacterial small subunit ribosomal RNA", at positions 30 to 507 of the family's 1533-position model. The record is from RNAcentral.
AUUGAACGCUGGCGGCAGGCCUAACACAUGCAAGUCGAACGGUAACAGGAAGAAGCUUGCUUCUUUGCUGACGAGUGGCGGACGGGUGAGUAAUGUCUGGGAAACUGCCUGAUGGCGGGGGAUAACUACUGGAAACGGUAGCUAAUACCGCAUAAUGUCGCAAGACCAAAGAGGGGGACCUUCGGGCCUCUUGCCAUCGGAUGUGCCCAGAUGGGAUUAGCUAGUAGGUGGGGUAACGGCUCACCUAGGCGACGAUCCCUAGCUGGUCUGAGAGGAUGACCAGCCACACUGGAACUGAGACACGGUCCAGACUCCUACGGGAGGCAGCAGUGGGGAAUAUUGCACAAUGGGCGCAAGCCUGAUGCAGCUAUGCCGCGUGUAUGAAGAAGGCCUUCGGGUUGUAAAGUACUUUCAGCGGGGAGGAAGGGAUUAAAGUUAAUACCUUGGCUCAUUGACGUUACCCGCAGAAGAAGCACCGGCUAACUCCGUG